Etheostoma spectabile (orangethroat darter) is the source of this 1624-nucleotide long non-coding RNA. RefSeq lists it as uncharacterized. Lineage: Eukaryota; Metazoa; Chordata; Actinopteri; Perciformes; Percidae. The transcript is spliced from 2 exons. The record is from RefSeq and is a predicted model, not a curated record.
CACACACACACACACACUUGCUUAAGCAUUCAGAUUCAUACUUGUGCUCAUAACACACACUCAAUGACUCUGUCUUUUCCCAGUGGAUUAUCUGUUUCAUCUAUCUAUCUCCUCCCUGUCUCCUUCAAAAUAGGAGUCUCAUUUGCAGACUGAGGCUGUUGUUAGAGCGAUGCACAGAGUCACCUAGGACGAUUCAUUGUCUUCAACUAUCCAAGGAUGCCUGCAUCAUCAGCUGGCACAGUGCUGCCAACGUAGUAAAAGGGAAGUAACGCAAUAUGCAUUCAUUCACAGAGAUACUCUUGCAAACACAUGCAUACACACCUUGUAUAUGAUGUAGAACCAAGCCUGAAUUUCGGAGGGUUCAUUUUAUUAGCUGAUACUUGUUAAUCAAAGAUAUAUCUAUCUAUCAUUGUAGGUGGUUAUGUAAUAUUGGUAUACCUUCUCAGACAAACUUAGGAGGACAUCUCACCGUCCACUUAACCUUUGACAUUCCUCUUUGGUCUCGGUCAUAGCAACCCAGUCUCUACUGGAAACAAUCACUGUUUCCAUGGGCCAAAAGAUUUACAAGAGCCAGGGGCACAAGGCUCUCAGAGCAGCCGUCCCUCUCAGUUCCUCUCAGUGACUUGAGAAUCACAAAAGAGGCCAGUGAGCUCUGUCCAGCUGACUCCAGGGUAAACUUCCCUGAGCGCUGAUCUGCAGCGCGCCUUCACUGUAUGACACCAGUACGCUAGUGAGUGCUAGAUUGCCUGUGUGCAUUUGUGGACCUAUAUGUGUGUAAUUACUGGCUAUUCAUAUAUACCCUCCCCAUAACUGACCCUGUCCUGUCUUGCCUCACACCCAUCACCCUUUGCCUCCAGACAAACCCUAUGUAGGUCAAUCCAUGUGUUAACACAGCCGCCCAACACAAGGAUUACACUGCUACCCCCAAGAUGGCCAUUUUAGCAGAUUAAUAUCUGUAGAAUAAUUAUCAUAACUGUGUUUUCUAUCCGGUUAUUAUCACCUUAUUAAUGCAGGUGUUGAUGGUGCGGUCUCCAGAAGGUUCUUUAAAUGCGCUAAGUUUCUCCACAUCUACCACAAAUGAUGAGAAUGCGGGUUAAUACACCUUUCUGCUGAUUCAUGCUUGCCUCUAGUCUUCAUCUGCCACUGCAAUUUCAAUUACCACAAAAGACAUAAAGACAUCUUUACACAAAGACGUAAAUUGUUUCAUCAUUUUCACUUUCCCCGCAUCGCCAAAAAUGACCUCAUUCUCCUUCUCUAUGAUGUUCCAGCUGGUGGGGUGUCUGUGCUUUGCCACGCAGCUUUGGAUGAUAUAAUUACAUGGCCGUCCGCGGCUCGUCAAAACCCUUCAGCACCGACCGUGCAGUGAUCUGAGCACCUUCUGACAUAAUCUAACAGCCACACGGCCGUGCCUGCUUCAUCUCAGUCGCUCUCCUUUCACAGCCUUCUGUUACUGAUCAUUAGUAUUAAGGAUAAUAUAGGAAGGCAAUGGAAGAGGGGGAGUGAUGCAACAGCACUUAACAUGACUGCAAAGUUUAAAAAUGAGAAAAUUGAUUUUGUGUGACGUUGAAAGUCUGAGAAAAGGGAAGAAGGGAUAAGGAAAAUAAAUUAGUCUCAAUUGAGUUUA